RNAcentral lists this unclassified non-coding RNA (409 nucleotides) under plant metagenome. RNAcentral's name for it is "partial contains small subunit ribosomal RNA, internal transcribed spacer 1, and 5.8S ribosomal RNA". The record is from RNAcentral.
UUUCCGUAGGUCGCUAGAGUUCAGCCUACCAAAGCAAACCUUUCAAAACUGCUAGUCUCUCCCCGAGGCGACACGCUCAAUGUUGCGGAGAGGCCCUCUUUUCAGAGGGUAAUCCGCAGCCGGCCCCCUAAAGGCUGGUUCAGAGACUCAAUAAGUGUGGGUUUGGCCUUUUGGCCAGGCUUAAGAUAGAGCCCGUCCCUGUAGGCAACUGCGGGGGAUGAACGGAACCUGCGGAAGGAUCAUUAAAGAAUCGGUGACCCUCGCGGUCCCAUUCUCACCCUUUGUAUACCAAACUUCAGUUGCUUUGGCUGGCCUUCGCGGGCCGGCCAGAGGACUCAAACCCUUGAAUCUUUGCUGUCUGAGUACUAUAUAAUAGUUAAAACUUUCAACAACGGAUCUCUUGGUUCUG